CCUACGGGCGGCAGCAGUGAGGAAUAUUGGUCAAUGGCCGCAGGGCUGAACCAGCCAAGUCGCGUGGGGGAUGACGGUCCUAUGGAUUGUAAACCUCUUUUGUCAGGGAAUAAAGGGCGCCACGUGUGGCGCUUUGCGUGUACCUGAUGAAUAAGCAUCGGCUAACUCCGUGCCAGCAGCCGCGGUAAUACGGAGGAUGCGAGCGUUAUCCGGAUUUAUUGGGUUUAAAGGGUGCGUGGGCGGAGGUUUAAGUCAGCGGUAAAAUUGUGGGGCUCAACCAUGUACUGCCGUUGAAACUGGGUCCCUUGAGUGUGCGAGAAGUAUGCGGAAUGCGUGGUGUAGCGGUGAAAUGCAUAGAUAUCACGCAGAACUCCGAUUGCGAAGGCAGCAUACCGGCGCGCAACUGACGCUCAUGCACGAAAGCGUGGGUAUCGAACAGGAUUAGAUACCCGUGUAGUC
Molecule: ribosomal RNA, 459 nt
Filed under: uncultured bacterium
Lineage: Bacteria
Description: partial 16S ribosomal RNA
Rfam family: Bacterial small subunit ribosomal RNA
Source: RNAcentral